RNAcentral lists this non-coding RNA (45 nucleotides) under Schistosoma mansoni. Lineage: Eukaryota; Metazoa; Platyhelminthes; Trematoda; Strigeidida; Schistosomatidae. The record is from RNAcentral.
UUUCAGCUGACGAGUCGCGUAUGGGACGAAAUGCGCGUCCUGGAU